CGCAGGCGGAUUGGUAAGUCAGGGGUGAAAUCCCACAGCUCAACUGUGGAACUGCCUUUGAUACUGUCAGUCUAGAGUAUAGUUGAAGUUGGCGGAAUGUGUCAUGUAGCGGUGAAAUGCUUAGAUAUGACACAGAACACCGAUCGCGAAGGCAGCUAGCUAAGCUAUAACUGACGCUCAUGCACGAAAGCGUGGGGAUCAAACAGGAUUAGAUACCCUGGUAGUCCACGCUGUAAACGAUGAUUACUCGAUGUUGGCGAUACACAGUCAGCGUCUGAGCGAAAGCAAUAAGUAAUCCACCUGGGGAGUACGAUCGCAAGAUUGAAACUCAAAGGAAUUGACGGGGGCCCGCACAAGCGGAGGAGCAUGUGGUUUAAUUCGAUGAUACGCGAGGAACCUUACCUGGGCUCGAACGUAAGAUGACUGUAGGUGAAAGCUUACAUCUCUUCGGAGCAUUUUACGAGGUGCUGCAUGGUUGUCGUCAGCUCGUGCCGUGAGGUGUCGGGUUAAGUCCCAUAACGAGCGCAACCCCUACCUUUAGUUGCCAUCAGGUCAUGCUGGGGACUCUAAAGGAACUGCCUACGCAAGUAGUGAGGAAGGCGGGGAUGACGUCAAAUCAGCACGGCCCUUACGUCCAGGGCUACACACGUGCUACAAUGGCCGAUACAGAGGGCAGCUACCUGGUGACAGGAUGCAAAUCUCCAAAGUCGGUCUCAGUUCGGAUCGGAGUCUGCAACCCGACUCCGUGAAGUUGGAUUCGCUAGUAAUCGCGCAUCAGCCAUGGCGCGGUGAAUACGUUCCCGGGCCUUGUACACACCGCCCGUCAAGCCAUGGAAGCUGGGGGGACCUAAAGUCGAUAACCGCAAGGAGUCGCCUAGGGUAAAACCAGUGACUGGGGCU
Molecule: ribosomal RNA, 900 nt
Filed under: uncultured Bacteroides sp.
Lineage: Bacteria; Pseudomonadati; Bacteroidota; Bacteroidia; Bacteroidales; Bacteroidaceae
Description: bacterial SSU rRNA
Rfam family: Bacterial small subunit ribosomal RNA
Source: RNAcentral